Molecule: ribosomal RNA, 1554 nt
Filed under: Salmonella enterica subsp. enterica serovar Anatum
Lineage: Bacteria; Pseudomonadati; Pseudomonadota; Gammaproteobacteria; Enterobacterales; Enterobacteriaceae
Description: bacterial SSU rRNA
Rfam family: Bacterial small subunit ribosomal RNA
Source: RNAcentral
AAAUUGAAGAGUUUGAUCAUGGCUCAGAUUGAACGCUGGCGGCAGGCCUAACACAUGCAAGUCGAACGGUAACAGGAAGCAGCUUGCUGCUUCGCUGACGAGUGGCGGACGGGUGAGUAAUGUCUGGGAAACUGCCUGAUGGAGGGGGAUAACUACUGGAAACGGUGGCUAAUACCGCAUAACGUCGCAAGACCAAAGAGGGGGACCUUCGGGCCUCUUGCCAUCAGAUGUGCCCAGAUGGGAUUAGCUUGUUGGUGAGGUAACGGCUCACCAAGGCGACGAUCCCUAGCUGGUCUGAGAGGAUGACCAGCCACACUGGAACUGAGACACGGUCCAGACUCCUACGGGAGGCAGCAGUGGGGAAUAUUGCACAAUGGGCGCAAGCCUGAUGCAGCCAUGCCGCGUGUAUGAAGAAGGCCUUCGGGUUGUAAAGUACUUUCAGCGGGGAGGAAGGUGUUGUGGUUAAUAACCGCAGCAAUUGACGUUACCCGCAGAAGAAGCACCGGCUAACUCCGUGCCAGCAGCCGCGGUAAUACGGAGGGUGCAAGCGUUAAUCGGAAUUACUGGGCGUAAAGCGCACGCAGGCGGUCUGUCAAGUCGGAUGUGAAAUCCCCGGGCUCAACCUGGGAACUGCAUUCGAAACUGGCAGGCUUGAGUCUUGUAGAGGGGGGUAGAAUUCCAGGUGUAGCGGUGAAAUGCGUAGAGAUCUGGAGGAAUACCGGUGGCGAAGGCGGCCCCCUGGACAAAGACUGACGCUCAGGUGCGAAAGCGUGGGGAGCAAACAGGAUUAGAUACCCUGGUAGUCCACGCCGUAAACGAUGUCUACUUGGAGGUUGUGCCCUUGAGGCGUGGCUUCCGGAGCUAACGCGUUAAGUAGACCGCCUGGGGAGUACGGCCGCAAGGUUAAAACUCAAAUGAAUUGACGGGGGCCCGCACAAGCGGUGGAGCAUGUGGUUUAAUUCGAUGCAACGCGAAGAACCUUACCUGGUCUUGACAUCCACAGAAGAAUCCAGAGAUGGAUUUGUGCCUUCGGGAACUGUGAGACAGGUGCUGCAUGGCUGUCGUCAGCUCGUGUUGUGAAAUGUUGGGUUAAGUCCCGCAACGAGCGCAACCCUUAUCCUUUGUUGCCAGCGGUUAGGCCGGGAACUCAAAGGAGACUGCCAGUGAUAAACUGGAGGAAGGUGGGGAUGACGUCAAGUCAUCAUGGCCCUUACGACCAGGGCUACACACGUGCUACAAUGGCGCAUACAAAGAGAAGCGACCUCGCGAGAGCAAGCGGACCUCAUAAAGUGCGUCGUAGUCCGGAUUGGAGUCUGCAACUCGACUCCAUGAAGUCGGAAUCGCUAGUAAUCGUGGAUCAGAAUGCCACGGUGAAUACGUUCCCGGGCCUUGUACACACCGCCCGUCACACCAUGGGAGUGGGUUGCAAAAGAAGUAGGUAGCUUAACCUUCGGGAGGGCGCUUACCACUUUGUGAUUCAUGACUGGGGUGAAGUCGUAACAAGGUAACCGUAGGGGAACCUGCGGUUGGAUCACCUCCUUACCUGAAAGAAGC